RNAcentral lists this ribosomal RNA (498 nucleotides) under uncultured bacterium. RNAcentral's name for it is "bacterial SSU rRNA". It matches the Rfam family "Bacterial small subunit ribosomal RNA", at positions 15 to 507 of the family's 1533-position model. The record is from RNAcentral.
GAUCAUGGCUCAGAUUGAACGCUGGCGGCAGGCUUAAUACAUGCAAGUCGAACGGUAACAGCAGAAAGCUUGCUUUUUGGCUGACGAGUGGCGGACGGGUGAGUAAUACCUAGGAAACUGCCUAAACGAGGGGGGAUAACAUUUGGAAACGAGUGCUAAUACCGCAUAAUACUGAGAAGUCAAAGGUUGGUUUACCAAUCGCGUUUAGAUGUGCCUAGGAGGGAUUAGCUAGUUGGUGGGGUAAAGGCCUACCAAGGCGAUGAUCUCUAGCUGGUCUGAGAGGAUGACCAGCCACACUGGAACUGAGACACGGUCCAGACUCCUACGGGAGGCAGCAGUAGGGAAUAUUGCACAAUGGGGGGAACCCUGAUGCAGCCAUGCCGCGUGUGUGAAGAAGGCCUUCGGGUUGUAAAGCACUUUCAGUUUGGAGGAAGGUAUUUGAGUUAAUAGCUUAGAUAUUUGACGUUACAAACAGAAGAAGCACCGGCUAACUCCGUG